UACAUAGGUGGCAAACGUUAUCCGGAAUUAUUGGGCGUAAAGGGUGCGUAGGUGGUUCAAUAAGUUACUGGUGGCAAAUCGGGGCCCAACCCCGUGGAAGUCAGUAAUACUAUUAAACUAGAGGAUCGGAGAGGUUAAUGGAAUUCUAUGUGUAGCGGUAAAAUGCUCAAAUAUAUAGAGGAACACCAAACGGCGAAGGCAGUUAACUAGUCGGUUCCUGACGUUGAGGCACGAAAGCGUGGGGAGCAAGACGG
Molecule: ribosomal RNA, 254 nt
Filed under: uncultured bacterium
Lineage: Bacteria
Description: partial 16S ribosomal RNA
Rfam family: Bacterial small subunit ribosomal RNA
Source: RNAcentral